This 208-nucleotide unclassified non-coding RNA is filed under the name uncultured fungus. Its description in RNAcentral is "sequence contains ITS1". Lineage: Eukaryota; Fungi. The record is from RNAcentral.
UUUAACGUUUAUGAACUAAACAAGCUCAGACAGAUACCACAUAAUGAUGGAGUUUAUGAUUACCUCCCGUGGGUCCACCGUGAAAGGAGGUCGCAAGCGCAAGGCCUACUACCCACGGAAGCAACAAGAACAAGUACACUGCGGGUGUUUAAGAAUAUGAAAUCCUAAUGUUUUUUUAAUGAUCCUUCCGCAGGUUCACCUACGGAAA